GAGUAAGAGCGAGAGGGAGAGAGAGAGAGACAGAGGAAAAGAGAGAGAGAGAGAGCGAGAGGGGAGAGGAGGAGCUGUCUCUGAACAGCUGGUGGGGGUAAAGGCGUUCGGCGGAAACCUCUUGUACCACUCUGUGCUCAGCAGAUCUGGGAGCUUGUGGUCGUGCUGAGCCGUGAGCCAUUUGAUGCAUGGACUCGAGUCUGCAGGGUGCCUCUCGUCCUGUGUGCCCGUUGCCGUGGCGCCCAGCGUGGUGUGCAUAAUCCGGGUGACAGAAGGAGCUCCGGGACGUCAACCCGACGCCCUGCGAGACGAGGUGACAACACGACGGAGGACAGCUGCCUGCCGCAACCGGUGGCCGACCGGGAACCACACGUGUGUGUCUGCGUGUGUUUGUCAGAGAGAGUGUGUCUGUGUGUGUAUGUCUAUCUGUGUGUGUCUAUUGGUGCAUGUGUCUAUCUGAAAUGUGUGUGUGUCUAUUUCUGUGCGUGCAUGUGCCUGUGUGUCUCCUAAAUGUGUGUUGUGUGUGUGUGUGUGUGUGUCUGCGUGUGUUUUUUCUGUGUGUGUGACUGUGUGUCUGUGUGUGUGUGUGUGUGUUUAUGCACAAAUAGCUAUCUCUCCCACACUACUAUUUGUUCAAUAAAUCCCGGAUAUCCUUGUUCUUUAUGCAGACCAGCUCCUCUUCUGGGAGAGAACUCUCCUCUAAUUGUUCAUCCCCAAUGAAAUGAGCAAAUGCUAACUUCUUCACUAAACCCUCCCUAUUAUCUAUUCUGAGCCGCUGUGAUCAAUGCACGGCUCGAUAUUGUAUCCAAUUAACAAUGAAUGGCUUUUAGUACCAUCAUCCACUUCCCCCCCCCCUCCCCAAACCUGCCAUAGCAAUCUGUCUAGACCGCUACACACACCUCACCGGACCCACAAACAAGACCGCUACACAAACCUCAGCGGACUCACAAACAAGACUGCUUCAUACUCCUCACCGGAACCACAAACAAGACCACGAUUUGGUGUCACCUAUCAGAAGAUUGUCUGUUGCCACACCACCCAGCAGCACCUCCACCCUGUUCUUGCAAUUAAGAUCCUACAGGUGUAGUAGUCAUUAAUAUUUGGGAUUGAGAUGCAAAGAGCUGUAAAAGUAGGAUUUAAUCACUAACCUCCGCGGGUUAAGGGCUGAAUCCAUGGUUAUGCCAAACCCACAAGCUCUGAGAUUAAAAUAUGAUGAUGUUCUGUGUUUCUAUUUACAAGCAGCUAGUUUAUUGGGCUAUUCAAAUAAUCAAAUUAAUAAACUUUCGGGCAAAUAA
Long non-coding RNA from Gadus macrocephalus (Pacific cod), 1295 nucleotides. RefSeq lists it as uncharacterized. The transcript is spliced from 2 exons. The record is from RefSeq and is a predicted model, not a curated record. NCBI's taxonomy places the organism in Eukaryota, Metazoa, Chordata, Actinopteri, Gadiformes, Gadidae.